This 255-nucleotide ribosomal RNA is filed under the name uncultured bacterium. RNAcentral's name for it is "partial 16S ribosomal RNA". It matches the Rfam family "Bacterial small subunit ribosomal RNA", at positions 524 to 776 of the family's 1533-position model. The record is from RNAcentral.
CACGUAGGGGGGCAAGCGUUGUCCGGAUUUAUUGGGCGUAAAGAGCUCGUAGGCGGCUCAGUAAGUCGGGUGUGAAACCUCCAGGCUCAAUCUGGAGACGCCACCCGAUACUGCUGUGGCUUGAGUCCGGUAGGGGAGCGUGGAAUUCCUGGUGUAGCGGUGAAAUGCGCAGAUAUCAGGAGGAACACCGAUGGCGAAGGCAGGUCUCUGGGCCGAUACUGACGCUGAGGAGCGAAAGCGUGGGGAGCAAACAGG